UACGUAGGGUGCAAGCGUUAAUCGGAAUUACUGGGCGUAAAGCGUGCGCAGGCGGUUAUAUAAGACAGAUGUGAAAUCCCCGGGCUCAACCUGGGAACUGCAUUUGUGACUGUAUAGCUAGAGUACGGCAGAGGGGGAUGGAAUUCCGCGUGUAGCAGUGAAAUGCGUAGAUAUGCGGAGGAACACCGAUGGCGAAGGCAAUCCCAUGGGCCUGUACGGACGCUCAUGCACGAAAGCGGGGGGAGCACACAGGCUGCGAUAACACCGUAGUCC
RNAcentral lists this ribosomal RNA (273 nucleotides) under uncultured bacterium. RNAcentral's name for it is "partial 16S ribosomal RNA". It matches the Rfam family "Bacterial small subunit ribosomal RNA", at positions 524 to 796 of the family's 1533-position model. The record is from RNAcentral.